GACGGAGGGUGCUAGCGUUGUUCGGAAUCACUGGGCGUAAAGGGCGCGUAGGCGGCGCCGCAAGUCGGCUGUGAAAGCCCGGGGCCCAACCCCGGAGGCGCAGCCGAGACUGUGGUGCUGGAGGCCGGAAGAGGAGGGUGGAAUACCCAGUGUAGAGGUGAAAUUCGUAGAUAUUGGGUGGAACACCGGUGGCGAAAGCGGCUCUCUGGUCCGGUCCUGACGCUGAGGCGCGAAAGCGUGGGGAGCAAACAGG
This 253-nucleotide ribosomal RNA is filed under the name uncultured bacterium. RNAcentral describes it as "partial 16S ribosomal RNA". It matches the Rfam family "Bacterial small subunit ribosomal RNA", at positions 524 to 776 of the family's 1533-position model. The record is from RNAcentral.